RNAcentral lists this ribosomal RNA (211 nucleotides) under Ruegeria sp. RNAcentral's name for it is "partial 16S ribosomal RNA". It matches the Rfam family "Bacterial small subunit ribosomal RNA", at positions 1165 to 1397 of the family's 1533-position model. Lineage: Bacteria; Pseudomonadati; Pseudomonadota; Alphaproteobacteria; Rhodobacterales; Roseobacteraceae. The record is from RNAcentral.
GGAGGAAGGUGUGGAUGACGUCAAGUCCUCAUGGCCCUUACGGGUUGGGCUACACACGUGCUACAAUGGCAGUGACAAUGGGUUAAUCCCAAAAAACUGUCUCAGUUCGGAUUGGGGUCUGCAACUCGACCCCAUGAAGUCGGAAUCGCUAGUAAUCGCGUAACAGCAUGACGCGGUGAAUACGUUCCCGGGCCUUGUACACACCGCCCGU